Molecule: ribosomal RNA, 492 nt
Filed under: uncultured bacterium
Lineage: Bacteria
Description: partial 16S ribosomal RNA
Rfam family: Bacterial small subunit ribosomal RNA
Source: RNAcentral
AGUGAACGCUGGCGGUAGGCCUAACACAUGCAAGUCGAACGGCAGCACAGUAAGAGCUUGCUCUUACGGGUGGCGAGUGGCGGACGGGUGAGGAAUACAUCGGAAUCUACUUUUUCGUGGGGGAUAACGUAGGGAAACUUACGCUAAUACCGCAUACGACCUACGGGUGAAAGCAUGGGAUCUUCGGACCUUGCGCGAUUGAAUGAGCCGAUGUCGGAUUAGCUAGUUGGCGGGGUAAAGGCCCACCAAGGCGACGAUCCGUAGCUGGUCUGAGAGGAUGAUCAGCAACACUGGAACUGAGACACGGUACAGACUCCUACGGGAGGCAGCAGUGGGGAAUAUUGGACAAAGGGAGCAAGCCUGAUCCAGCCAUACCGCGUGGGUGAAGAAGGCCUUCGGGUUGUAAAGCCCUUUUGUUGGGAAAGAAAAGCAGCAGGUUAAUACCCCGCUGUUCUGACGGUACCCAAAGAAUAAGCACCGGCUAACUUCGUG